RNAcentral lists this ribosomal RNA (253 nucleotides) under uncultured bacterium. Its description in RNAcentral is "partial 16S ribosomal RNA". It matches the Rfam family "Bacterial small subunit ribosomal RNA", at positions 524 to 776 of the family's 1533-position model. The record is from RNAcentral.
UACGUAGGGGGCAAGCGUUGUCCGGAUUUAUUGGGCGUAAAGAGCGUGUAGGCGGCCAAGCAGGUCCGCUGUGAAAACUCGAGGCUCAACCUCGAGACGUCGGUGGAAACCGUUUGGCUAGAGUCCGGAAGAGGAGAGUGGAAUUCCCGGUGUAGCGGUGAAAUGCGCAGAUAUCGGGAAGAACACCCGUGGCGAAGGCGGCUCACUGGCCCGGUACUGACGCUGAGGUGCGAAAGCGUGGGGAGCAAACAGG